Molecule: ribosomal RNA, 2902 nt
Filed under: Escherichia coli
Lineage: Bacteria; Pseudomonadati; Pseudomonadota; Gammaproteobacteria; Enterobacterales; Enterobacteriaceae
Also listed under: 2 other names
Description: bacterial LSU rRNA
Rfam family: Bacterial large subunit ribosomal RNA
Source: RNAcentral
UUAAGCGACUAAGCGUACACGGUGGAUGCCCUGGCAGUCAGAGGCGAUGAAGGACGUGCUAAUCUGCGAUAAGCGUCGGUAAGGUGAUAUGAACCGUUAUAACCGGCGAUUUCCGAAUGGGGAAACCCAGUGUGUUUCGACACACUAUCAUUAACUGAAUCCAUAGGUUAAUGAGGCGAACCGGGGGAACUGAAACAUCUAAGUACCCCGAGGAAAAGAAAUCAACCGAGAUUCCCCCAGUAGCGGCGAGCGAACGGGGAGCAGCCCAGAGCCUGAAUCAGUGUGUGUGUUAGUGGAAGCGUCUGGAAAGGCGCGCGAUACAGGGUGACAGCCCCGUACACAAAAAUGCACAUAUUGUGAGCUCGAUGAGUAGGGCGGGACACGUGGUAUCCUGUCUGAAUAUGGGGGGACCAUCCUCCAAGGCUAAAUACUCCUGACUGACCGAUAGUGAACCAGUACCGUGAGGGAAAGGCGAAAAGAACCCCGGCGAGGGGAGUGAAAAAGAACCUGAAACCGUGUACGUACAAGCAGUGGGAGCACGCUUAGGCGUGUGACUGCGUACCUUUUGUAUAAUGGGUCAGCGACUUAUAUUCUGUAGCAAGGUUAACCGAAUAGGGGAGCCGAAGGGAAACCGAGUCUUAACUGGGCGUUAAGUUGCAGGGUAUAGACCCGAAACCCGGUGAUCUAGCCAUGGGCAGGUUGAAGGUUGGGUAACACUAACUGGAGGACCGAACCGACUAAUGUUGAAAAAUUAGCGGAUGACUUGUGGCUGGGGGUGAAAGGCCAAUCAAACCGGGAGAUAGCUGGUUCUCCCCGAAAGCUAUUUAGGUAGCGCCUCGUGAAUUCAUCUCCGGGGGUAGAGCACUGUUUCGGCAAGGGGGUCAUCCCGACUUACCAACCCGAUGCAAACUGCGAAUACCGGAGAAUGUUAUCACGGGAGACACACGGCGGGUGCUAACGUCCGUCGUGAAGAGGGAAACAACCCAGACCGCCAGCUAAGGUCCCAAAGUCAUGGUUAAGUGGGAAACGAUGUGGGAAGGCCCAGACAGCCAGGAUGUUGGCUUAGAAGCAGCCAUCAUUUAAAGAAAGCGUAAUAGCUCACUGGUCGAGUCGGCCUGCGCGGAAGAUGUAACGGGGCUAAACCAUGCACCGAAGCUGCGGCAGCGACGCUUAUGCGUUGUUGGGUAGGGGAGCGUUCUGUAAGCCUGUGAAGGUGUGCUGUGAGGCAUGCUGGAGGUAUCAGAAGUGCGAAUGCUGACAUAAGUAACGAUAAAGCGGGUGAAAAGCCCGCUCGCCGGAAGACCAAGGGUUCCUGUCCAACGUUAAUCGGGGCAGGGUGAGUCGACCCCUAAGGCGAGGCCGAAAGGCGUAGUCGAUGGGAAACAGGUUAAUAUUCCUGUACUUGGUGUUACUGCGAAGGGGGGACGGAGAAGGCUAUGUUGGCCGGGCGACGGUUGUCCCGGUUUAAGCGUGUAGGCUGGUUUUCCAGGCAAAUCCGGAAAAUCAAGGCUGAGGCGUGAUGACGAGGCACUACGGUGCUGAAGCAACAAAUGCCCUGCUUCCAGGAAAAGCCUCUAAGCAUCAGGUAACAUCAAAUCGUACCCCAAACCGACACAGGUGGUCAGGUAGAGAAUACCAAGGCGCUUGAGAGAACUCGGGUGAAGGAACUAGGCAAAAUGGUGCCGUAACUUCGGGAGAAGGCACGCUGAUAUGUAGGUGAAGUCCCUUGCGGAUGGAGCUGAAAUCAGUCGAAGAUACCAGCUGGCUGCAACUGUUUAUUAAAAACACAGCACUGUGCAAACACGAAAGUGGACGUAUACGGUGUGACGCCUGCCCGGUGCCGGAAGGUUAAUUGAUGGGGUCAGCGCAAGCGAAGCUCUUGAUCGAAGCCCCGGUAAACGGCGGCCGUAACUAUAACGGUCCUAAGGUAGCGAAAUUCCUUGUCGGGUAAGUUCCGACCUGCACGAAUGGCGUAAUGAUGGCCAGGCUGUCUCCACCCGAGACUCAGUGAAAUUGAACUCGCUGUGAAGAUGCAGUGUACCCGCGGCAAGACGGAAAGACCCCGUGAACCUUUACUAUAGCUUGACACUGAACAUUGAGCCUUGAUGUGUAGGAUAGGUGGGAGGCUUUGAAGUGUGGACGCCAGUCUGCAUGGAGCCGACCUUGAAAUACCACCCUUUAAUGUUUGAUGUUCUAACGUGGACCCGUGAUCCGGGUUGCGGACAGUGUCUGGUGGGUAGUUUGACUGGGGCGGUCUCCUCCUAAAGAGUAACGGAGGAGCACGAAGGUUGGCUAAUCCUGGUCGGACAUCAGGAGGUUAGUGCAAUGGCAUAAGCCAGCUUGACUGCGAGCGUGACGGCGCGAGCAGGUGCGAAAGCAGGUCAUAGUGAUCCGGUGGUUCUGAAUGGAAGGGCCAUCGCUCAACGGAUAAAAGGUACUCCGGGGAUAACAGGCUGAUACCGCCCAAGAGUUCAUAUCGACGGCGGUGUUUGGCACCUCGAUGUCGGCUCAUCACAUCCUGGGGCUGAAGUAGGUCCCAAGGGUAUGGCUGUUCGCCAUUUAAAGUGGUACGCGAGCUGGGUUUAGAACGUCGUGAGACAGUUCGGUCCCUAUCUGCCGUGGGCGCUGGAGAACUGAGGGGGGCUGCUCCUAGUACGAGAGGACCGGAGUGGACGCAUCACUGGUGUUCGGGUUGUCAUGCCAAUGGCACUGCCCGGUAGCUAAAUGCGGAAGAGAUAAGUGCUGAAAGCAUCUAAGCACGAAACUUGCCCCGAGAUGAGUUCUCCCUGACCCUUUAAGGGUCCUGAAGGAACGUUGAAGACGACGACGUUGAUAGGCCGGGUGUGUAAGCGCAGCGAUGCGUUGAGCUAACCGGUACUAAUGAACCGUGAGGCUUAACCUU